AGAGUUUGAUCCUGGCUCAGGACGAACGCUGGCGGCGCGCCUAAUGAAUGCGAGUCGAACGAGAACCAGACAGUUGAUCUCUUCGGAGUGAUUCAGUCUGUGGAAAGUGGCGAACGGGUGAGUAACACGUGGGUAACCUACCUCCGAGACGGGGACAACACAGGGAAACUUGUGCUAAUACCCGAUGGUCUACCGGUGCACAUGUACCGGAUAGUAAAUGGUCAGCCGCUCGGAGAUGGGCCCGCGGCCCAUUAGCUAGUUGGUGAGGUAACGGCCCACCAAGGCGACGAUGGGUAGCCGGUCUGAGAGGAUGGUCGGCCACACUGGGACUGAGACAUGGUCCAGACUCCUACGGGAGUUAGCAUCAGGGAAUCUUGCUCAAUGAGCGCAAGCUUGAAGCAGCGACGCCGCGUGUGGGAUGAAGGCCCUCGGGUCGUAAACCACUGUCAGGAGGGACGAAGAUCUGACGGUACCUCCAGAGGAAGCCCCGGCUAACUACGUGCCAGCAGCCGCGGUAAAACGUAGGGGGCCAGCGUUGUCCGGAUUUACUGGGCGUAAAGAGCGCGUAGGCGGUUUGGUUAGCGGAGGGUGCAAUCCAGAGGCUCAACCUCUGAACUGCUCUCCGAACUGCCAGACUAGAGUACGGGAGAGGGUAGUGGAAUUCCUGGUGUAGCGGUGGAAUGCGUAAAUAUCAGGAGGAACACCCGUGGCGAAGGCUGCUACCUGGAACGUAACUGACGCUGAGGCGCGAAAGCUAGGGGAGCGAACGGGAUUAGAUACCCCGGUAGUCCUAGCCGUAAACGAUGGACACUAGGUGUUGGGGGAUCGACCCCCCCAGUGCUGUUCUGUUAACGCGUUAAGUGUCCCGCCUGGGGAGUACGGUCGCAAGGCUAAAACUCAAAUGAUUGACGG
Molecule: ribosomal RNA, 912 nt
Filed under: uncultured bacterium
Lineage: Bacteria
Description: bacterial SSU rRNA
Rfam family: Bacterial small subunit ribosomal RNA
Source: RNAcentral